CAAGUUUUUUUUUUCUUUUUUUUUGUUAAUUUUUGUUAAUACUGAUGGAUGCAGAAAUUUGUUCAUUCCCACUCAAAAACUGAUAUGAAGAAGCAAAUAGAAGUAGGAUAAGAUUUGGACAAAAUAUUGUUGUCAUCACGUAGAAGAUUAGAUUUGAUUGACUUAAUGUGGAUAAAAUCCCAAGGAUUUGAGGGAUUUUGUUACCUAAUCACACCAUUAAAAUUUCAUUAGAGGUUCAUUAGUGAUAACUGAUGUAUCUAAAUAAAGGAUACGUUGUACGGGUGUUACCGUGUGAAUAUGAAAGGUCAAGCAUUUUUAGAUUUGUAUUAUUUUCAAAUGGUUUUGAGGGAUUCACAAGUAUAGCCAUUUGAUGACUGGCGAUCUCUUGGUGAGCGUUUCUUGAUUAUGAAAGUGUCAGACUGGGUUAUCUUUUCAAUGGGACUCCAAGAAUGGAGAGCCAAAGGGAUCCUUCCUUUGGUACUCCAAUGAGAAAGGAUAAGGGGUAGAGUUAGGG
This 514-nucleotide unclassified non-coding RNA is filed under the name Hevea brasiliensis (rubber tree). The record is from RNAcentral. Lineage: Eukaryota; Viridiplantae; Streptophyta; Magnoliopsida; Malpighiales; Euphorbiaceae.